Molecule: non-coding RNA, 25 nt
Filed under: Drosophila erecta
Lineage: Eukaryota; Metazoa; Arthropoda; Insecta; Diptera; Drosophilidae
Also listed under: 1 other name
Source: RNAcentral
UGUUUCAUCGUUAGACGGCUCGGGC